This 35583-nucleotide long non-coding RNA is filed under the name Lathyrus oleraceus (garden pea). Its description in RNAcentral is "Pisum sativum (pea) long non-coding RNA (PSAT_LNC021899)". The record is from RNAcentral. Lineage: Eukaryota; Viridiplantae; Streptophyta; Magnoliopsida; Fabales; Fabaceae.
UUUUUUUUUUCUUUCUAAAUAAAUAUACAUUAUAUACUAAUUUGGUGUACUUAAGGAAACUCUCUAUCCACCACAUUCAUAUAUAGGGAAACUCUUUCGUACAUAUCUUGACAAAUUAGAUACUAACUGUGGAGGAUAUCUUCAAACACUAUUAAAAUAUUGUUUAUUCGAACAUAAUCAUAUUCUUUUUUCUUUUUAUUGUAUUUUUUCUUUAUUUCUCUCAUGUAUGAAUAUCAUAAGAUGUGACACUAUUUAAUUCAAUAAAAGACUAAAAUAAAAGGUAACCCAAAAUAAAAUGAUAUUUUAAAAUAAUAAGAUUCAAAUUAAAACGAUAAUUAAAAUUUAUAUAUUAAAUAUAUUUAAUUAUAACAUAAAUUCAUUAUGAUAUGGAAACUUGGAAGCCAAAAUUAAAAGAAAAUGAAAAGAUUAUAAUUAUAUUUCCGCCUUUUUUGCAUUAUUUUCAAAAAUUUAAAGAACAAAGACAUAGUUUCAAGAUACAUGAAAUUACAACACGAUAUAAAUAUAUAAAAUUUAUAAAAUUACAAUUAUUCAUCAUAAGCUAUAUUAUUUAUAUUUUUUGAUAUUUCAAAAAAUAUUAUUUAGGAUAAGUUAUGAGAAUGGACUUAAAAAUGAUUUACCAUAUCCUCUCAUGAACCUCUACAAACUUUGUGCAUAUUGUGUUAACGCACUUAAAAAUUAUUCUCUGAUUGUUAGCACUCAUCAUUGAGAAUGGACAAUUUUCAUCAGUUUGACAUGGUUGCCCCCCUUAGUGAAAAAUAGAAUAAAAAAUGUUAGUGAAACAUGAAAAAAGAUAUUGUAAGAAUUAUAACAUAAAAUAAAAACUAAUUAAGAAGCAAAACUGAUUUACCGUUAUGCCCGGAUGAAAGAAUAUGCCCGGAUGAAAGAAGGAAUAGGGAAAAAAAUAAAAUUAUAGCAUAAAUAAAUUUGACAACUUUUGUCAUUUUUUCUCUCUUUCUCGUUAGAAGUAAAAAGAGAGUUGAGCAAUUUAUAGUGUAUAAAUCCAAUGUAAUGUUUAAAACAAUUAAAUAUUUUAAGCCCUAAAGUAUAAAAUAUAUUUUAAUUGUCCCUUUUUCACGUUUAAUAGGCGUCUCUUAAGCAUAUUUAGCAAAGGGGGUAAGAAACAAAUACUUUAUAAUCUUUACAUUUAUUUAAAAGUAAUUUUACAUCAUUUGGUGAUUGAAAGGACAUGUUUUUUNNNNNNNNNNNNNNNNNNNNNNNNNNNNNNNNNNNNNNNNNNNNNNNNNNNNNNNNNNNNNNNNNNNNNNNNNNNNNNNNNNNNNNNNNNNNNNNNNNNNNNNNNNNNNNNNNNNNNNNNNNNNNNNNNNNNNNNNNNNNNNNNNNNNNNNNNNNNNNNNNNNNNNNNNNNNNNNNNNNNNNNNNNNNNNNNNNNNNNNNNNNNNNNNNNNNNNNNNNNNNNNNNNNNNNNNNNNNNNNNNNNNNNNNNNNNNNNNNNNNNNNNNNNNNNNNNNNNNNNNNNNNNNNNNNNNNNNNNNNNNNNNNNNNNNNNNNNNNNNNNNNNNNNNNNNNNNNNNNNNNNNNNNNNNNNNNNNNNNNNNNNNNNNNNNNNNNNNNNNNNNNNNNNNNNNNNNNNNNNNNNNNNNNNNNNNNNNNNNNNNNNNNNNNNNNNNNNNNNNNNNNNNNNNNNNNNNNNNNNNNNNNNNNNNNNNNNNNNNNNNNNNNNNNNNNNNNNNNNNNNNNNNNNNNNNNNNNNNNNNNNNNNNNNNNNNNNNNNNNNNNNNNNNNNNNNNNNNNNNNNNNNNNNNNNNNNNNNNNNNNNNNNNNNNNNNNNNNNNNNNNNNNNNNNNNNNNNNNNNNNNNNNNNNNNNNNNNNNNNNNNNNNNNNNNNNNNNNNNNNNNNNNNNNNNNNNNNNNNNNNNNNNNNNNNNNNNNNNNNNNNNNNNNNNNNNNNNNNNNNNNNNNNNNNNNNNNNNNNNNNNNNNNNNNNNNNNNNNNNNNNNNNNNNNNNNNNNNNNNNNNNNNNNNNNNNNNNNNNNNNNNNNNNNNNNNNNNNNNNNNNNNNNNNNNNNNNNNNNNNNNNNNNNNNNNNNNNNNNNNNNNNNNNNNNNNNNNNNNNNNNNNNNNNNNNNNNNNNNNNNNNNNNNNNNNNNNNNNNNNNNNNNNNNNNNNNNNNNNNNNNNNNNNNNNNNNNNNNNNNNNNNNNNNNNNNNNNNNNNNNNNNNNNNNNNNNNNNNNNNNNNNNNNNNNNNNNNNNNNNNNNNNNNNNNNNNNNNNNNNNNNNNNNNNNNNNNNNNNNNNNNNNNNNNNNNNNNNNNNNNNNNNNNNNNNNNNNNNNNNNNNNNNNNNNNNNNNNNNNNNNNNNNNNNNNNNNNNNNNNNNNNNNNNNNNNNNNNNNNNNNNNNNNNNNNNNNNNNNNNNNNNNNNNNNNNNNNNNNNNNNNNNNNNNNNNNNNNNNNNNNNNNNNNNNNNNNNNNNNNNNNNNNNNNNNNNNNNNNNNNNNNNNNNAUAUAUAUAUAUAUAUAUAUAUAUAUAUAUAUAUAUAUAUAUAUAUAUAUAUAUAUAUAUAUAUAUAAUGUAGAGUUGAGGAGAUAAUUUGUAAUGUAUAAGUUAAAUAUAACAAUAUUUCUCUUUAUAAAAUUAUCGGAUAUUAAGGAAUGAAAAUCAUAUUUUGUGUCAUAAUGUAAUUUCUUCUAUAUAAAGUUGUUCGUGAUGCAUUUUAGGCGAUUUUAAUGAUAAAAUUUAUCCGAAUCACAAGAGAAAAAGAUAUUCGGUUUGAUUUAGUUAGGUUGGCUUUUAGAAAUAAAACCAAAUCAAACCAAUACGGUUUGGGUUAGUUUGGUUUUAAAAAAAAAUUAUUGAGUGAUACAUACACCUAUAGAGAACAACAUAAUUUUGUAUUUAGUCAUUUAUACAUUAAUAAAUAACAUCAAAACUCAUCAUAUUUAGACAAAAUCUUCUCAUUCGAUAUACAAAAAUCAGAUUAUACAAAAUUGGAAUAAAAAAACAUAAAAUAGUAGCAUAAAAUAAUAUCAAAUGCAUUAUAAUAAAUCAUAAAAAAACAGAUGAGAAGAGUGAUUAGACAAGAAGAAAAAGAAAGAACAAAUGAGAUGCUAGAUUAGAGAAGAAAAGUGCGAUAAAAAUGUAAUUGAAAGAGAAAAUAGUAACAUAAAAAUGAGAAGAUGAAAAAGAAAGAACAUAAGAGAGGUGAGACUAAAGUAGAAGAGGCAAGACAUACAUGACAAAGAAAAUGAGAAGAAUAUCCGAUACUACAUGGAGAGAUUUGUAAGUUGUAACACCCUGAAUUCAAUUAAUUAUUUUAAUUUAAUUAUUUAAAAUUGCAUUUGAUUAAUUGGUAUUUUAAAGUAUUUGUUGUGUGAUUGUGGGGGGUAAUUGUCCUUGAAGUAGAGGUAUAGAAAGAGUAAGAGUUUGACAUAUUUGUUUAGAAAUUAAUUGAAGUUUUAAUUAAUUAUUAGAAUAAAUAGUAUUUUUAUUUGAAAUAAUUAUUUAAAUAAUAAAAUGAUGGAAUUGAGCUAUUUGCAAGAUUUGGAGGGAAUAAGGGGUAAAAAUAAAGAAAUUAUUAUUGAGUUAGGCAAGUUUCAUAAUUAGACAAAAUAGUGAAGGAGUAUAUACUCUAAAGUUAGGGAAAGAGUUAGGUUUUGGAGAGAAAACUUCAGACGUGUAGGAAAGAGACAAGAGAGGGGAAGAGGAGCAAGCUAGGAGGUUGAGGAGAGAACUCAUAGAAACUGCACAAAUCAUCAUCAAUUGUAUAAAAUUAGGUAAGGAUUGGAAAUUAUUUCAACAAUAAAAGGUGUGAUGGAAGGGUAGAAUGAAGGAACCCUUAACCUCCUUAGGAUUGGGUGUUCUAAAUCUCAAUUUUGAUUUUUGUGUUAUAAUUGUUGUUGUAUGAUGGAAUUGGUGUGAAAUUUGUGUAACUUAUUGAAGCUAGCAGAAAUAUACCUGAACGCAUCGCACGCUUGAACAUACAACAGAGUCGCCAUCAAACUUUAUUCAUUCCGUAAGGAAAGGGAAAACAUCGAUAAAACCCGAGGGAAAGAGAUAUAUAUGUAAGGAAGUCGGUUAUGUAAGGGGAAGGUAUUAACACCCCUAACAUCCAUGGUACUCCAUGGGAACCGUUUUGAUUGUUCUUACUCGAAUGGGUGUUAUAUCCAAGGCUACUCGCGAAAGAAUGAAGGGAAAAGGAAAAAGAAUAGAUAAAGUACUCGGUGAGGAUUGAGUAAAGAAUAGAUAGUGCAAUAAGGAAUUCAGAGCUCCGUAGUUCAUAGAACUAGUGGUGGAAGGUGAAAAGAAUUUGUGAUACAAGUAUAGUCUGAAACAAAGGAUUUUAUGAUUUGAACUCCAGAAAAAAGCGGGGAUAAAUCUCGAACCCAAGACUAAUGCUGGCGUGAGCCAUUGUCGGGUAAUUCUGGAACAUCACCGCUAUACGUUACACCGAAAAACCAAGCAAGACCAAUUAAGUUUUGGUUUGAUCCAAGGAACAUUAUAUCACUGUAGCGGUACAAACGAAUUUGAAGAAUCAAAGAAGACCUGGAUAUCUAUUGAACCCAUGAAGGAUGGAACUCAUAACUCGAGAGAAGUCAAACACGUGUUUCUGGUCCAAAAAGAAGGGAACAAAAGUGUUUGUCCUUGAUAACACGAAACAUCUUUUGGUGUCACAAGGUUUUUGGGGAAAAAGUAGGACGAUACAAAUUUUGCCUUUGACACGCACAAGACAUCUCUUGGUCACAGGAACGCAUGGAUAUGAAUCCCAAAGGAAUAAUGAGAUCUCAAAAAUAUGGUAUUGCUUGAAGAAAUACCAAUGGGGUAGAAAUAAAUAAGGUAGCUGGCGGAGAAUCUGAAUCCUCGUGCCUACGUAUUCUCACUGUGCAAUUAGAAAGUCAGAUCUUUCGUAGUUCAAUCAACUAAGGAUGACAACAACAUAGUUCAGGCAAAAGAAGUGAUUGGUAAUUGCUAGGAUACACAAACCUUCUAGGCAGAAAAAGGAGUGCCAAGGUUCACAGCCUGCUAGGAAAGGAGUCACUACCAGAGUUUAUAAUUCUGAAGGCGAAGAAUUGAACUGCCAAGGUCUAAAACCUAAAAGGCAAAGGGAAUGGAUGUUAGAGUCCAUUACUCCCUAGGCAAAAGAAAGCACUUCCAAAGUCCAUAAACUGAUAGGCAAGGGGAUUUCCCAGAGUCCAUAACUCUACAAGGCUACUUAAAGGGAUUGUCAAGGUAUAUAACAAAGUGCAAAAGUCUAUAACUCCAUACGCACAGAAAGAGUCUGCCAAGGUCCACCAUCUCCUGGGGGUAAAAGGAAGAUUGCCAAGGUCUAUUACGUUAUAGGAAAGAAAGAUUGAAUUGAUUGGGUCAAUAACCCUAUAAGGAAAAAGGAAUUCCAAGUUCUAUCACCUUAUAGGAAAGGAAAGGUUUCCAAGGUUUAUUACCUUAUAGGCAAGAACAUGUUUGAAUUGCCUGGGUCCAUAACCCUACAAGGAAAAAGGAAUACCAAGGUCUAUCACCUUAUAGGAAAGAAAAGGUUGUCGUUUCCUAUGUCCAUAACCCUAUAAGGAAAAAGGAAUGUCAAGGUCUAUCACCUUGUAGGCAAGAAUGAAUGAUUAAAAGACGGUGUACAACCAUGAGAUGCCAAUAGGAACAAUGCUUCAUUAUUGAAGUGUGGAAAGAUUGAUGCUUGCUUGAAGAAUACUUGUUAAUUGCAUGAUUCAAAUUACACUAAAGUCUAUGAACAAGGGUCAAUGAUUUGAAUAGCUAGGGCAUAUGCCCCCUAUGGAAAGUCACUCUAGACAAGGGUAGGAGAAACUUUGUCUCAACAUUCCCCGUUACUUAAGGCUCAUAACGUGUAACCCUUAUCACGAUUGACAAGUACUAUUAAGGCUUAUGAUUAUUGAUCUUGAUGAUGACAUGUUGUUUGUUGUGUUGAGAAGACUUGACAAUUGUUUGAUUCAAAUUAUGCUAAAGUCUAUGAACAAGGAUGAAUGCUUUGAAUAGCUAGGGCCUGCGUCCCGUAUACAAAGUCACUCUAGACAAGGGUAGGAGAAACUAUGUCUCCUCAUUGCUCAUUAGUUAAGGCUCAUAGCAUACAAUUUGAAUCGUAGUUACCAAGUCUUGACCUUCGAUGUAUCUUGUAUAAUCCGCUGCUUGAUUUGACUAGGAUGCCUUGCACGAAAGACUAGACUUGAAGCUUCAAGAUCCAUGGUAUUGAAAUUAGUCCCAUCAAGUGAGCAAGGGACUUUUGAUCACUUCAAUGGACUGUGAGAUUAUACAUGACCAAAGGAUUUAGUUGGUCAAAAUUGCUUUUGAUCAACGUAAAUCGGAGGGUUUGAAUUAACUUGAAAAUUGUGAUUAACCUAAUCUAUGGGUUAAGAUUAUUCUCACACUAUUCCUAAGGGAGCAUAUUAUGUUAAUCAGAUACUUCAUGAAAAAACUUGAUUAAACUAGCUAAUAUUCUAAGUUAAAAUUAAAACCGAAAGGAACAUGCGUUUCUAUGGCUAAAAUGACAAAAAUAACCCUAAGGUUAAAAUGGUUAUUUCACAUGAAUAUUCAAUUUAAGGAUAAAAUUAAACCCUAAUCAAUAUCCUAACUAAAACCUAAAAAUUAGACAAGUUCUAAGAAAACUAUUUUAAUCAAAUCAAAGAAACCUAAUUGUUUUUAGAAAUCUAACUAAACUAAAAAUAAAUAAAUUAAUAUUCUAAUUAAUCCUAUUUUUAUUCUAAUUAAAAUCCUAAUUCUAAUUAUUCCUAAAAAUCUAACUUAAUUAAACUAAUCAUUAAAAAACUCUAAAUGGCCUAAUUAAUAAAAAUAAAACAAACAAAAAAUGAAUCAAGAACAAAAAGAAUAAUUAACUCAGAUUGGGGNAAAGAAUAAUUAAUCAAUUGGGGUGUAAAAGAAUUAAAAUAAGGUCUAAUGGCCCAAAAAUCCACAUAAUCAGUUUGUUUUAUUCUUGUUUUAUCUUAUAUGUUGUUUUGUAUUAUAUGUGUCAUGCUGAACCAGUCAUGCUGGCGACACAUGGUGCUGUCGCAAAAAAGUGAAAAAAAAGAACAAAAUGUAGGACACGUGUCACGGUUCUGAGAGUUCCAAGUUUAAUCAAUAUAUGUUUCAUUAAUUAAUUUAACCGAUUAAAAUCCUAAUUCUAAUUAUUCCUAAAAAUCUAACUUAAUUAAACUAAUCAUUAAAAAACUCUAAAUGGCCUAAUUAAUAAAAAUAAAACAAACAAAAAAUGAAUCAAGAACAAAAAGAAUAAUUAACUCAGAUUGGGGGUGUAAAAAGCAAUUAAAAUAAGGUCUAAUGGCCCAAAAGAUCCACAUAAUCAGUUUUGUUUUAUUCUUGUUUUAUCUUAUAUGUUGUUUUGUAUUAUAUGUCAUGCUGAACCAGUCAUGCUGCGACACAUGGUGCUGUCCAAAAAAGUGAAAAAAAAGAAAAAAAUGGUAGGACACGUGUCACGGUUCUGAGAGUUCCAAGUUUAAUCAAUAUAUGUUCAUUAAUUAAUUACACACAACCUUGAAUUUUGAUCUACUAAAAAUUAAUAAAUAAAAAAUUAAUAAAUCAAAAAUUAAUAUGCAAAUUAUAUAUCCAGGCUCGAUUUUUCGCGAAGAAUCCAAAUAUGCAAUCGAAUUUUGCAAAUGAGCCACGAAUUUUGAAGAAUCAGGCGAAAAUGUGAAGAAGAAAAAAUUAUGUAAAGAAUCGAUUGAUUCAUAUUCGUUAUAAUGAUAUAUGAAAAAGUAAUCUCAUAUUCAAAAUCAUGACGAAAAAUCGCUUCUUAUGAUAUAUUCAUACGUAAUUAACGGUUAAGAAUUGAAAAAUCACUAUUUUUAAGUUUAUGUGAUUUAUGCAAAACAGUAACUAAAAUUGAUCAACAAGCAUGCUGAGUCGAGUGUUUUAUUGUUGAUCAAAGAUUGUCUGUAACUAGAUGACCAUAAAGACAAUUGAUGGGUACUCCACGAAGCAUGCUGAGCGACACGAGUGAUCUAGAUAGAAUUUGCCCAUCCUACGUAACAUGAUAAAUGUCUAAGGGCUCAAUAUUGAAAUGGACAAGGAUGGCACGGGUUAUGCCUUGUGUUUAAUAUAAACAUAAUGACAAAAGGGUAAUUGUACACGUAAGUAAUAUCACAAAAAGGGAUUUGUCAUAUCACAUGACAUUUUCGUGUCUUGGGUAGCAAUGAUGUGUUGUUAGAUACCGCUCACUAUUUAUUAUUUUAAAUAUGUGAUUUAAUAUAAUUACCAAUAUCGCGAAAACCUACAGGGUCACACACAAAAUGACGGAUUGAUGAGAGACAGAUUAAAUAAGGAACACCGUAAGGUACGGUGCACUUAAGUAGAAUAUGAAAUAUGGUAAGGUAUCACACGCUUAAGUGAUUUUCAGUAUACCAUAAGAUAUGGGCCACAUCCACUUAAGUGAACUUUUUAGCUUGCAGGCGAUAUAAGUGGUUCUAUAAAUUGAACCCUUGUGCAUAAGCGUUUUACUUGAUGAAAUUUCUCUUCUCUCUCUCAAAGUCUUCAUUCGUAACAGCUAGCACUGAGACUAAAGGAAUCCGUUCGUGUGGACUGAGUAGAGGCGUUGUCACCCGUGAUCACUCCUUAGAUCUGCAUCAAAGGUUUCAAUUGGCAUAAGAUGUAACGAUUUUUAUCACUAAUCAUUCUCAUUUUUAAGGAUCAGUAAAGGAAAAUUUUAAUUUCUGUUGCAUUUUGGAUCGUAAUUUUCCUUUAGUGGUAUCAGAGCCACUUACGAAACCAUGCAUAUGAUAGUUGUUUUUUUCUUCUGUAUUAAUACGAUUAAAAGACAAAAUGAAUUAAAUAAUAAAAGAGUAUUUAAAUUUGGGAUCAUGUGUGUAUGAUUUGGAUGAUUGAUGUUGACUAUGCUUCGAAAUCUGAUGUUAGUAUGGUGAAGCAGCGAUACAUCGAUCGUCCAUGGGUAACACAAAUGAGAUCGAUCAAUUUAUAUAUAUGAUAUAAGAUAAUCUGAUGCAAAAUAUGGUAUAUAUGAUAUACUGUUUCUAUUUCGUUCAUUCAAACACUUAAUGAUUUUUAUUCUUUUAAGCGAUCAAUGGCCAAUUGCUUCGGAAUCCGACAUUAGUAUGGUGAAGCAAUGGCGUGUUGAUCAAUCAUAUUGAUUUAUCAAUCGAGGUGUGUUUGACGAUAUGAAAUUGCUGCAUUAGGGUUCAUGAUGGUACAAGGGUUAUGCUGUCAAAGAGUUAUGCGAUUAGGGUUGUGACUGCACAAGAGUUGUGCUUUAAAGUAUCAAGUGUUGACCGAGAAGAAGAACCCCCGACUAACUCUGUGUAGUAUGAUCAAUCACCAAAAUUUAAUUUGGUUUAUAUAAUUAACAGAAUUUAAAUUAAUAAUAAUAAUGUGUUUAUUAUUAUUGUCUUUUGGUGAUCAGUUAUGGCCUUAGUUUUCCUUUAUUUUGUUUUUGGGAUUUUAAAAUACAACCUGCGUGUCGUGCCUCUAUUUUAAUCUCUUAAUGUAACUUCUUUUCUCAUCUCACUCCCUCGUAUGUAAAACGAGUUUCUUUUAUGUAAUGUAAUGUUAUGAAAAAAGAUAAUAAUACAAUAUCAAAGGGGGAUAACCUUGAAGAUCAUGCUUGGAGAAGCUUAGAUUGUUAUUAGGUUAUAUUAGGUUCUCUCAUUGGCUUGGGAGAACAAUUGCGAUAUGGGCCAUAACUGUUUCAUUUUGUAUGUAUGUUGAUGCAUCCGAGAGACGAUUUAAAUGAUAAAUAAGCCGGAGAGAUCAAAAUAAUUGCAAAUUCCCUCAAAUUAAAUAUUAAGUUUAUGCUUUCCAAUUUUUAGCACUCAUCAAGACUAAUAUCGAAUAAUGUAGGUUUCGCCUAGGUGAGGUACAUGUUCUAUAUUAGUAUGGUGUGAUGGGAUGAUUGUAAUAUCCAAUUGCUAAAAUAAUGGGUCAAACUUAACUAAACAAACUAUAAUAAGAUUAUAUAUGUUUAGAAGCAAGAGUUGGAUUGGAAUAAGGAGUUAUUCACCCAACUAAAAUAUUCGAGAGUUGUAUUAGAUACAAUUGGAAGGAGUUCCUACCUAAAUAACCUAGUUUUGUGUAAUCCUCCUACGCGAACUUAAAACAAAGUAGGAGUUAUUCACCCAACUAAAAUAUUCGAGAGUUGUAUUAGAUACAAUUGGAAGGAGUUCCUACCUAAAUAACCUAGUUUUGUGUAAUCCUCCUACGCGAACUUAAAACAAAGUGAAAUGUGGAUCUCGACCCACUAGAAAAUCUUCCAACGGGAUUUUCCGAAUCAAAUGGUGAUGGUCAUUUGUUUUGAGUAAAAUAGUGGAAGCAUAUUUAAUUAAAGGCCUAAUUAAAAAUGAUAUUUUAAUGAUACUUAUAUUUUCAUAUUUUUCAUGUAGAUUACCAUGACAACAAACACCUCUAACAACAUUUUACGGUCAAUCCUUGAUAAGGAAAAAUUGUUUGGGACAAAUUUUCUGGAUUGACACCGAAAUCCGAGGAUUAUUCUCAAGCAUGAUAAAAAGUUGUAUGUCUUGGAGAAACCUAUUCCUGAAGAGGAACCUCCUAGUUCUGCACCUAAGGCAGAGAUAAAUGCUUAUAAGAAGCAUAUCAAUGAUAACAAUGAAGUUGCUUUCCUCAUGCUAGCUACCAUGAACUCGGAGUUGCAAAUGCAACAUGAGAACAUGAGAGCGUUCUAUAUGAUCAGACACCUGAAGAUGCUCUAUCAAGAGUAGGAAAGGCAUGACUAGUUUGAAGUUUCAAAGCCCUUUUUCAAUGCAAGUUAGCAGAGGGAGCCCAUGUAGGUCCCCGUGUCCUCGAGAUAAUUGGGUAUAGUAAGACCCCAAUUUUGAUCCUAAGAUCCCUCAUGCAAUUUCUUCAUAAGCAUUAGCAUUGGGAUCAUACCUUGGCAUCCUCCUUACCCCUCUUUCAUUGGGUUUAUUUUGGGAGAGAUAACCAAGCACCAUGUAAUUGUAUCAUACUUGUAUAUUAUUUUACUAACCAAAAUACCAAAAAUAUGUCUUUGUAUUUGGCUAAUUCUUUUGUAGGUAGGGCAUGAUCACCAUUGAUCUAUCAAGUUCAUAUCUAGGGUUAGAGACCCUCAUGACAAGGAGCACAACAAUGGAUUGAUCCAAGAAUGGUUAUAAGCAUCAUAUAUGAGUCCCCAUGAUUCUUACAUGUUAUAUUGAUCAAGUAUUCUUCAAGAGUUUGAGGGUGAUUUGCCUUGGAAACCCUAGUUUGACUAGGUAUCUUGAGUAACUUCUCCUACAAGCUAUCUCAUCAAUUGAUCAAAAUUAUCAAGGUAAACUUCAAAUUUCAUCAUCUUAUGCAUAUAUGAUUUACCAUGAGCCAAGAAAGUCCAAAGAAUUGAAGGGUAUCAAGUUGGCUGAUGGUGGUUGGCCAGAUGAAUUCAUCUGAUCAAAACUGGGUCUCCCUAGACCCUAACUCCUACAAUUUUCACCAUAUGAAAAUGAUUCUUAGAGAAAAGUUACUCUAAAUGACAUUGCAAAUAACUUUCAUGUUGAGAUCUAGAGCUAGUUUUUCUUGGAAAACCAUUUUCUAUGUUGAAACAUUAUAGGUCAUUUUGUCUAAACCCUAAUUUGAAAGUCAACUUCCCAUGGCCAUAACUUGCUCAAUUUUUAUGAUAUGAAAUAUUUACAAGUUGCAUAAUCAAAUUAAAUAUGUCUAAUUCAACUUUUAUGUUUGGAGUAAGAUCUAAUUCAACUUUUAUGAGCAUGUGAUAUGAGGUUAAAUUAUAGGUCAUUUUUUACCUAUACCAUUGAACAAGUGAUUUUUCCAAACUUCAAAAAUGCAUAACUCUAUCAUUCUAAGUCUAAAUGACAUGAAACUUGUGACCACUUUGAAGAUCUUUGAUAGAACUACAACUUUGAUACAGACACUUUUCUCAUUUGAAGCUCACAUAAAAAGUUAAGCAAGAUGGAAUAUUGAGAUAUAUGGCUUAACACAGAAAUUUUUUCAACAUGUUGAAAUUUCCAAACUUCCACCUCAAAAUUCACCAUGUUCCAAACUCCAAAUGGAAAAGUGUUCAACAUGAAACUUGUUCCCCUUGAUCCAAUCUUUCCAAAGUCCUGAAGUUCAUUCGUUUUGGAUGAAGUUUUCUAGGUCUGCGCAUGGCUUUAACAGGGCUACAUCAUGGGAAAGAAUAAAAUGUACAAGCUUCAUUUCACAUUACCUUUCCAUUCAAGCUUCAUUCAGACUUCAACAUGAUUCAUUUUGGACCUUUAUGCAUUGCAUCAUGGGCCUGUACAUGCCCAUGCACUUGUGCCAUUCACAUUGCCAAAUUUGGACAAAUUAUGGACUUCUGUGAUUCGAAUCAAACUUUCAAAAGUAAAAUGUGAUUAUCAUUAAUAUGUUUUAUUCAACUCAAGAACUUCUAUGAUUGAAAUCAAGCCAUUCACAUUGCCAAAUUUGGACAAAUUAUGGACUUCUGUGAUUCGAAUCAAACUUUCAAAAGUAAAAUGUGAUUAUCAUUAAUAUGUUUUAUUCAACUCAAGAACUUCUAUGAUUGAAAUCAUACUCACUGGAGAAAAUCCCGACUUUUCCACAUAACUUGAUUCAAAUCAUGUCAUCCCAUGAUUUGAAUCAUGCUUCAAGAUUUUAGUUUUUUUUUUAUCAAAAUGGAGCGUUAUACUGAAUCAGAAUAUGACAUGACUUAAAUCAUUCUCAAACGUGCUUCUUAAUUCAAAACUUUGACUAUUUGACUAGGAGUGUAUUGCUAGGACCAUAAUCAAACAAUUUGAUUUAUGCAUAAGUAAAAACAGAUUGAAAACUAAACUUUAAAGCCCACAAUCAAGUGAGGAGAGUCAAAUACGAUAAAAUAAACCAAAAACUAGAUAAGAAAGCAACCAAACAUAAACGGGUAAAUCCUAUGAGGUAGAGGAAACUUCAACAUCCAUGUUUUAUUUACUUAAAUCAAAAGUUUUUAACAAGCAUGCAUUUAAGAAAAUAAUUUUAACAUUUACAAGAGAAGAGAUUACAUUAAGGAACCAACUUUGAAUCAUUUUUCUAUUCUUACAAUUCAUCCCAGAUAAUGGUUUUGUACUUCAUGCAUUUACUCUCAUUAUAAUUUUUUUCAUUAUAUUAUAUUUAAAUUUCAACACUUUGUAUCCAAGAUAAAUCGUUGUGGUAUUCUCAUUCUAAUUUGUUAUUGAGGGUUUCAAGUGGAUCAGUGAUGUUUCAUGUGGAUUGAUGAGUUAACAAUAUAUUGACCCUUCUUACUUUAUAAAUGGAUGGAAAAGAUUCAUUACUUAUAAAAAAAAAAUAAAAGGCGAUAAAAUAGAUUUUCCCUCGGUUGACAGCUCAACCAAGAGAAUAUGUCAUAAAUAAAGUAUUAAAAAAAUAAAAUACGCUAAAAUGCAGUUGCUAGAAUUUAAAGGAGGAAUUGAUCCAAAAAUUUUCAACUCGGUUAGUAGCUCAACCGAGGGUAUAAGUUAUCAAUAAAAUAUUAUAAAUAAAUAAAGUGUGAUAAAAUGUAGUUAUUCAGAUUCGAAGGAAGGUUGAUCAAAAUUGUUUCGCUCAGUUGCCAGCUCAAUCCACUAAAUAGGCAGAACUUUAUAAAAAUAUGUAGGAAUGUAGAUUCGAACAUGUGAUAGCUCAUUUGUUUAUCUUUAAAAGGUGAAUUCUAUAGAGGCAAAUGAUAAAAUAUGAGCGCUUUUAAAAAAUUUAAUCGUAUAAAUUUAUGAAAAUUAUUAUGUUUUUAUAUAAAUAUUUUUUUGGAUUUGUUUAAUAAAAUCCUUUUAAAACUAAAUCAAAGGUGAAACCUGAUUAAUUUUUGAGUAAAAUAAUUUUUUAAUAAUAAAAAAGGAGAAGAAAUAUUAUGUUAUAUAAAAUUUAUAAAAAUAUUGAAGUGGCAGAAUAUUUUUUUUAAUAUUUUAUAAAUUAUAAAAAUAUUUCUUUAAUGAUUAUAGUUGUUCAAACUUUUAAUAUGUAAAACGUACCUUUUUUUUUCUUUGUAAAUAAAUAUACAUUAUAUACUAAUUUGGUGUACUUAAGGAAACUCUCUAUCCACCACAUUCAUAUAUAGGGAAACUUUUUCCUACAUAUCUUGACAAAUUAGAUGCUAAUUGUGGAGGAUCUCUACCAACACUAUUAAAAUAUUGUUUAUUCGAACAUAAUCAUAUUCUUUUUUCUUUUUAUUGUAUUUUUUCUUUCUUUCUCUCAUGUAUGAAUAUCAUAAGAUGUGACACUAUUUAAUUCAAUAAAAGACUAAAAUAAAAAGGUAACUCAAAAUAAAAUGAUAUUUUAAAAUAAUAAGAUUUAAAUUAAAACGAUAAUUAAAAUUUAUAUAUUAAAUAUAUUUAAUUAUAACAUAAAUUCAUUAUGAUAUGGAAACUUGGAAGCCACGAUAUACAUCCAAAAUUAAAAGAAAAUGAAAAGAUUAUAAUUAUAUUUCCGCCUUUUUUGUAUUAUUUUCAAAAAUUUAAAGAACAAAGACAUAAUUUCAAGAUACAUGAAAUUACAACACGAUUUAAAUAUAUAAAAUUUAUAAAAUUAUAAUUAUUCAUCAUAAGCUAUAUUGUUUAUAUUUUUUGAUAUUUCAAAAAAUAUUAUUUAGGAUUACUUUUUGAGAAUGGACUUAAAAAUGAUUUAUCAUAUCCUCUGAUAAACCUCUACAAAGUUUGUGCAUAUUUUGUUAAUGCAUUUAAAAAUUGUUCCAGAAAUUAUUCUCUGCUCGUUAGAACUCAUCAAUGAGGAUGGACAAUUUUCAUCAGUUUCACAUGGUUGCCCCUCUUAGUGAAAAAUAGAAUAAAAUUUUUUAGUGAAACAUGAAGAAAGAUAUUGUAAGAAUUAUAACAUAAAAUAAAUAAUAAUUAAGAAGCAAAAAUGAUUUACCGCAAUCCCCGGAUGAAAGAAGGAAUAGGGAAAAAAAUAAAAUUAUAGCAUAAAUAAAUUUGAGAACUUUUGUCAUUUUUUCUCUCUUUCUUGUUAGAAGUAAAAAGAGAGUUGAUCAAUUUAUAGUGUGUAAAUCCAAUGUAAUGUUUAAAACAAUUAAAUAUUUUAAGCCCUAAAGUAUAAAAUAUAUUUUAAUUGUCCCUUUUUCACGUUUAACAUGCGUCUCUUAAGCAUAUUUAGCAAAGGGGGUAAGAAACAAAUACUUUAUAAUCUUUAGAUUUAUUUAAAAGUAAUUUUACAUCAUUUGGUGAUUGAAAGGACAUGUUUUUUAUUUUAUUCUUUUAGAUCUCUGUGAUUCGGAUAAUUUUUAAUCAUUAAAAAUCGCCCAAAACGCACCACGAACAACUUUAUAUAGAAGAAAUUACAUUAUACACAAAUAUGAUCUUAUUUCCUUAAUAUCCAAUAAUUUUAUAAAAGAAAUCAUCGUUAUGUUUAACUCGUAUACAUUACAACUAUAUCUCUCAACUCUACAUUUAUAUAUAUAUAUAUAUAUUAUAUUAUAUAUAUUAUAUAUUAUAUAUAUAUAUAUAUAUAUAUAUACUAUAUAUAUCAUAUAUAUAUAUAUAUAUAUAUAUAUAUAUUAUAUAUUAUAUAUAUUAUGAUAUAUAUAUAUAUUAUAUAUAUAAUAUAUAUAUAUAUAUAUAUAUUUUAGAUCAAUCUUCUAAGAAUAAAAUAAAAAAACAUGUCCUUUCAAUCACAAUGUGUAAAAUUACUUUUAAACUAAUCUAAAGAUUAUAAAGUAUUUUGUUCUUACCCCUUUGCUAAUAUGCUUAAGAGACGCAUGUUUAAACGUGAAGAAAGGGACAAUUAAAAUUAUUUUAUACUUUAGGGCUUAAAAUAUUAAUUGUUUUAAUACAUUACAUUGGAUUUACCACCUAUAAAUGAUCAACUCCUUUACUUCUAACAGAAAGAAAAAAAUGACAAAAGUUCUCAAAUUUAUGCUAUAAUUUUAUUUUUUUUCCCUAUUCCUUCUUUCAUCCAUUGCGGUUAAAUCAUUUUGCUUCUUAAUUAUUUAUUUUGUUAGUUUAAUUCUUACAAUAUCUUCUCAUGUUUCACUAAAAAUUUUAUUCUUAUUUUUCACUAGAGGGGGCAAACCAUGUGAACACUGAUGAAAAUUGUUCCAUCCUCCAUUGAUGAGUCGUAACGAGCAGAGAAUAAUUUCCGGGAACGAAUUUUUUAAAAUGCAUUUACAAAAUAUGCACAAACUUUGUACAGGUUUAUCAGAGGAUAUGAUAAAUCAUUUUUAAGUCCUUCUUCAAAAAAAAAAGUAAUCUAACAUAAUAUUUUUUGAAAUGUCAAAAAAUAUAAACAAUUAUAGCGAUGUGAAUAAUUAUAAUUUUAUAACUAUUAUUAUAAAUCGGUGUUAAUUUCAUUGUAUCUGACAUUAUGUCUUUGUUCUUAAAUUUUUGAAAUAAUAUACAAAAGUGCGGAAAUAUAAUUAUAAUCUUUUCAUUUUCUAUUUAUUUUGGAUAUAUCGUGGCUUCCAAGUUUCAAUCAUAAUGAAUAGUUUAUAAUAUAAAUAUUUUAAUUAUAUAAUUUUAAUUUAUCGUAGUUUAAUUUAAAUCUUAUUAUAUUUAAAAAUAUCAUUUUAUUUUGAGUUGACCUUUUUAUUUUAGUCUUUUAUUUGAAUUAAUAGUGUCACAUCUUUAUGUAUUCAUACAUGAGAGAAAGAAGAAAAAUACAAUAAAAAGAAAAAGAAUAUGAUUAUGUUCGAAUAAACAAUAUUAUUAAGUAGUUGUAGAGAUCUCUCACAAUUAGCAUCUAAUUGUCAGAUAUGUCAGGAACAAAGUUUUCCCUAUAUAUGAAUGUGCGUGCGAUUAGAGAGUCUUCCGUUAAGUACAACCAAAUUAGUAUAUAUGUAUAUUUAUUUACAAAGAAAAAAAAGAGUACGUUUUACAUAUGUUAAAGUUUGAACAACUAUAAUCAUGAAAGAACUAUUUUUAUAAUUAUUAAAAUAUUAAAAAAUAUGUCUGCCAUCUUUCAAUAUUUUAUAAUUUAUAUAACAUAUUUUCUUCUCCUUUUUUAUUAUUAAAAAAUUAUUUUACUCAAAAAUUUAUAUCAGGGUUCACUUUCGAUUUAGUUUUAAAGCGAUUUUAUUAACAUCCAAAAAAUAUUUAAUAAAACAUAAUAUGUUAUAAUUUAUACGCAGUUAAAUUAUUUAAAAGCGCUCAUAUUUUAUCAUUUGCCUCUAUAGAAUUACCUUUUAAAGAUAAACACAAUGAGCUAAUCACAUGUUUCGAAUCUACAUUCCUACAUAUGUUUUAUUAAAGUUCUCCUAUUUAGUGGAUUGAGCUGGGACUCGAGCCGAAACAAUUUUGAUCAACCUUCCUUCGAAUCUGAAUAACUAAUUUUUAUCACACUUUAUUUCAUUAUAUAAUAUUUUUAUGAUAACUUAUCCCUCGGUGGAGCUACUAAACCGAGUUGAAAUUUUUGGAAUCAAUUCCAUCUUAUUAUUCUAGCAACUGCAGUUUAGCGUAUUUUAUUUUAUUUUAAUACUUUAUUUAUGACAUAUUCUCUUGCGUUGACGCUGUCAACCGAGGCGAAAAUCUAUUUUUAUCGCCUUUGAUUUUAUUUUUUUAGUUAAGAAUCUUUUCCAUCAUUUGUAAAGUGAAGCAAGGCGUCAAUUAUAUUGUUAACUUUCAUCAAUCCACAUAGAAACAUCACUGAUCCACUUGAAACCCUCAAUAACAAAUUAGAAUGAGUAAUACCCAACGAUUUAUCGCGAUCAAGUGUUGAAAUUUUAAUAUAUAAUAUAAUGAAAAAAAAAAAUUAUAAUGGAGAGUAAUGCAUAAGUACAAACCAUUAUCUGGGCAAUGAUUGUAGAAUAGAAAAAUGAUUCAAAGUUGGCGUUCCUUAUGUGAAUCUCUUCUCUUGUAAUGUUAAAAUUUAUUUCUAUAAUGCAUGCUUGCUUAAACAACUUUUGAUUAAGGUAAAUAAAAACAUGGAUUGUUGAAGUUUCCCUCUCCUCAUAGGAUUUACCCGUUUAUGUCUUGUUGCUUUCUUAUCUUAGUUUUUGGUUUAUUUAUUCGUAUUUGACUCUCCUCACUUGCAUUGUUGGGCUUUAAAGCUUUAGUUUCAAUAUCUGUUUUUACUUAUGCUAAUCCAAAUUGUUUGAUUUCGGUCCAUAGCAAUCACUCCUACGUCAAAUAUGUCAAGUUUUGAAUUAGAGCACGUUUGAGAUGAUUUAGUCAUUGUCAUAUUCUGAUUCAGUAUAACCGCGUCCAUUUUGAUACAAAAAAAAUAAAUCUUGCAAGCAUGAUUCAAAUCAUGAGAUGACAUUGAUUUGAAUCAAGUUAUGUGGAAAGUCGGGAUUUUCUUCCAGUGAGAUUGGAUGAUUUCAAUCAUGACAAGUUCUCUGAGUUGAAUAAAACAUAUUAAUGAUAAUCACCAUUUACUUUUGGAAAGUUUUGAUUCCAUUACAGAAGUCAUAAUUUGUCCAAAUUAUGGCAUGUGAAUGGCACAAGUGCAUGGGCAUGUACGGCGCCAUGCAUGCAAUGCCUAAAGGUCCAAAAUGCAUUCAUGUUGAAGUCUUGGAAUGUAAGCUUGAAUGAACUUUCGAAAGGUAAUGCUGAAAUGAAGCUUGUACAUUUAUUCUUUCCCAUGAUGCAAGCCCUGUUAAAGCCCAUGCCCAGAUCAUAAAACUUCAUCCAAAAACGAAUGAACUUCAGCGACUUUGGAAAAGAUUGGAUCAAGGUGGAACAAGUUUCAUGAUGAACAACUGUAUCCUGUUGGAGUUUGCGAACAUGGUGUGAAUUUUGAGGUGGAAGUUUGGAAAUUUUAACAUGUGAAAAAAUUUCUGUGUUAAGCCAUAUAUCUCAUAUUCCAUCUUGCUUAACUUUUUUAUGUGAGCUUAAUAUAAAAGUGCUCGUUAUCAAAGUUGUAGUUCUAUCAAGAUCUUCAAGUCGCGUCACAAGUGUUCAUGUCUUUAGACUUUAGAAUGAUAGAAGUUAUGCAUUUUGAAGGUUUGGAAAAAUCACUUGUUCAAUGGUAUAGCGUAAAAAAAUUGACAUAUAUUUCAACCUCAUAUCACAUGCUCAUAAAAGUUGAAUUAGAUCUUACUCCAACAUAAAGUGAAUUAGACAUAUUUAAUUUGAUUAUGCCAACUUGUAAUAUUUCAUAGUCAUAAAAAUUGAGCAAGUUAUGGCCAUGGGAAGCUUGACUUAUCAAAUUAGGGUGUAUAGACAAACAUGACCUAUAAUGUAUUCAACAUAGAUAAUGUUUUUCCAAAAAAACUAGCUCUAGAUACUCAACAUGAAAGUUAUUUGCAAAAUGUCUAUUAGAGUACACUUUUCUCUAAGAUCAGUUUUCAUAUGGGUGAAAUUGCUAGGAGUUUUAGCGGGUUCUAGGAAGACCACGUUUGAUCAGAUGAAUUCAUCUGGCCAAACCAUCAGCCCCAACUUUGAUACCCUCAAUUCUUUUGGACUUUCUUGCUCAUGGUCUAAAUCAUAUAUGCAUAGAAGAUGUGAAUUUGGAGUUGUCCUUGAUAUAUUGUUGAUCAAUUGAUGCAGCAUAGCUUGUAGGAGAAGUUACUCAAGUACCUAGUCAAACUAGGGUUUCCAAGGCAAAUCACCCUACAACUACUUGAAAGAAUACUAUGAAUCAUAUACAUGUAAGAAUCAUGGGGACUCAUAUACUGAUGCUUCUACAUUCUGGAUCAAUCCUGUUGUGCUCCUGGUCGAUGAGGGGCUCUCUAACCCUGCAUAUGAACUUGUAGAUCAUGGUGAUCAUUGCCCUACCUACAAAAGCAAUUAGCCAAUACAAAGACAUAUUUUGGUUAUUUGGCUUAGUAAAAUAAUAUACAAGUAUGAUACCGAAUGACAUGGUUGCUUGGUUAUCUCUCCCAAAAUAAACCACGAAAUGAAACAGGAGGGUAAGGAGGGAUAGCCAAGUGUAUGAUCCCAAUGCUAAUGCUUAUGAAGAAUUGCUAUGAGGGAUCUUCAGCGAUCAAAUAUUGGGGGUCGUACAUAUACCCAAUUAUCUCGAGGCACACGGGCGACCCUACAUGGGCUCCCUUGCUAACUUCGCAUUGAAAAAGGCUUUGAAACUUCAAACUAGUCAUUGCCUUUCCUACUCUUUGAUAGAGCACUUUCAGGUGUCGUGAUCAUAUAGAACGCUCUCAUGUUCUCUCAGUAUUGCAUUUGCAAACUCCCGAGUUCAUGGUCAGCUAGCAUGAGGAAAGCAACUUCACUUGUUAUUCUUGAUAUGCUUCUUAUAACGCAGUUUAUCUCUGCCUUAGGUGCCAGAACUAGAGCAGGUUCUCUUUCAGGAAUAGGUUUUCCCUAAGACAUACAACUUUUAUCAUUGCCUUGAGAAUAAUCCUGCGAUUCGGUGUCAAUCCAGAAAUUGUCCCAAAACAAUUUUUCCUUAUCAACAGGAUUGACCGUAAAAUGGUGUGUUAGAGGUUUUGUUGUCAUGGUAAUCUACAUGAAAAAGAUAUGAAAUUAAGCUAUCAUUAAAAUACUCAUUUUUAAUUAGGCCUUUAGUAAAUAUGCUUCCACCUAUUUUAUCAAAACAAAUGACCAUCACCAUUUGAUUCGAGAAAUCCCGUUGGAAGUUUUCUAGUGGCGAGAUCCACAUUUCACUUUUCUUUUAAGUCGCGUAGGAGGAUUACACAAAACAUAGGUUAUUUAGGUAGGAACGUCCUUCCAAUUUGUAUCUAAUACAACUCUCGAAUUAUUUGUUGGGUGAAUAACUCCUUUAUUCCAAUCCAACUCUUGGCUUCUAAACCAUAUAUAAUCUUAUUAUAGUUUGGUUUAGUUAAGUUCUGACCCAUUUAUUUAGCAAUUGGAUAUUAACAAUCAUCCCAUCACACCAUACUAAUCAUAGGAACAUGUUACACUCACCUAGCGAACCUACAUUAUUCGUAUUAGUCUUGAUGAGUGGCUAAAAAUUGGCAGCAUAAACUUAAUAUUUAAUUGAGGAUUUGCAUUAUUUGAAUCUCUCCGGCUUAUUUAUCAUUUAAAUCCGUCUCUCGGAUGCAUCAAACAUACAUACAAAAUGAAACAGUUAUGGCCCAUUAUCGCCAAUCUUUUCCCAAGCCAAUGCAGAGAACCUAAUUAACCUACUAACCAUCUAGCCUUCUCCAAGCAUCAUCUUCUAAAGGUUAUCCCCCUUUUUGAUAUUGUAUCUAUUAUUCGUUUUCAUAAACAUUACAUUACAUAAAGAAACUCGGUUUUACCAUACGAGAGGAGGAGAUGAGAAAAGAAGUUACAUUAAGAGAUUAAUAUAGAGGACACGCACACGCAGGUUGUAUUUUAAAAUCCCAAAAACAAAUAAAGGAAAACUAAGGCCUAACUGAUCACCAAAAGACAAUAAUAAUAAAACACAUUAUUAUUAUAUAAUUUAAAUUCUGUUAAUUGAUAUAAACAAAUUAAAUUUUGGGUGAUUGAUUCAUCACUUACACAGAGUUAGUGCGGGCGUUCUUCUUCUCGGUCAACACUUGAACUUUAAAGCACACAACUUCUUGCUGCAGUCCAACCCUAAUCGCAUAACUCUUUGACAGCAAACCUUGUACCAUAUGAACCCUUAUGCCAGCAAUUUCAUAUCGUCAAAACACACCUCGAUUGAUAAAUCAAUAUGGAUUGCAUCAACACGCCAUUGCUGUCACCCUAUACUCAAUGUCGGAUUCCGCAGCAAUUGGCCAUGACGGCGCAAUUAAAGAGAUAAAAAAUACAUUAAGUGUCUUGAAUGAACGAAAAUAGAACAGUAUAUACAUAAUAUACAUAUUUAUGCAUCAGAUUUAUCUUAUAUCUAUAUUGAAAUUGAUCGAUCUCAUUUGUGUUACCCCGAUGGACGAAUCGAUGUAUCUGCUGCUUCAGCCAUACUAACAUCAGAUUCGAAGCAUAGUCAAGCAUCAAUCAUCCAAAUCAACACACAUGAUCCCAAAUGUUAAAUACUCUAUUUAUUAUUUAAUUCAGUUUUGUCUUUUAAUUUCUUAAUACAGAAGAAAAAACAACUACUCAUAUGCAUUGGUUUCGUAAGUGGCCUCUGAUACCUAAAGGAAAAAUUACGAUCAAAAUGCAACAGAAUUAAAAUUUUCCUUUACUGUCCUUAAAAUGGAGAAUGAUUAGCUGAUAAAAAUCGUUACAUCUUAUGCAAUUGAAACCUUUGAUGCAGUCUAAGCGAGUGAUCACGGGUGACAACGCCCUUCACUCAGUCCACGCACGAACGGAUUCCGUCUUAGUCUCGGUGCUAGCUGUACGAUAUGAAGACUUGAGAGAGAGAAGAGAAUAUUCAUCAAGUUAAACGCUUAUGCACAAGGGUUCAAUUUAUAGAAACCACUUAUAUCAGCCUGCAAGCUAAAAAGUUCACUUAAGUGGAUUGGCCCAUAUCUUAUGGUAUACUGAAAAUCAUUAGACCGUGUGUACCUACCUAUAAUUUCAUGAUUCUACUUAAGUGCACCGUUACCUUACGGUGUUCCUUAUUAAUCUGUCUUACUCAUCAAUCCGUCAUUUUGUGUGUGACCCUGUGGUUUUCGCGCGAUAUUGGCUAAUUAUAUUAAAUUCACAUAUUUUUAAACCAUAAUAUAAAGUGAGCGGCGUAUCUAACAACACAAUCAUUGCUACCCAAGACACGAAAAUAGUCACGUGCUGAUAUGACAAAUCCCUUUUGCUGAUGAUUACUUACGUUGUUACAGAUUACCCUUUUGUCAUUAUGCUUUAUAUUAACACAAGGCAUAACCCGGUGCCAUCCUUGUCCAUUUUCAAUAUUUGAGCCCUUAACAUUUAUCAUGUGUGACGUAGGAUGGGCAAAUUCUAUCUAGAGUCACCUCGGGGCGGGCUGGUGUCGCUCAGCAUGCUUCGUGGAUACCCAUCAAUUGCUCUUUAUGCGUCAUCUGGUACAGACAAUCUUUGAUCAACAAUAAAACAACUCGACUCAGCAUGCUUGUUGAUCAAUUUUAGUUUACUGUUGUUGCCAAUAAAUCACAUAAAACUUAAAAAUAGUGAUUUUUUCAAUUGUCUUAACCGCUUAAUUACGGGAUCUGAAUAUAUCAUAAGGAAGCCCGCAUUUUUUCGUUUCAUGAUUUGAAUAUGAGAUUACUUUUUCAUAUAUCAUUAUAACGAAUAAUGAAAUCCAUCGGCAUGCUUUACAUAAUUUUUUCUUCUUACAUUUUCGCCUGAUUCUUUCAAAUUCGUUGGCCUUCAUUUGCAAAAAUUCGAUUGGCAGUAUUUGGAAUUCUUCCGGCGAAAAAUCGAGCCUGCGAUUAUAUAAUUUGCCAUAUUAAUUUUUGAUUGUAUUAAUUUUUUAUUUAUUAAUUUUUUAGUAGGAUCAAAAUUCAAGCGUUGUGUGUGUAAUUAAUUAAUGAACAUUAUAUUGAUGUAAACUUUGGAACUCUCAGAACCGUGACAAACGUGUCCUAACAUUUUUUUUCUUUUUUUUCACUUUUUUGCGAGCAGCACCAUGUGUCGCCCAGCAUGACCUGGGUCAGCAAUGCACAUUAUAAUUACAAAAACAACAUAUAAGCAUAAAACAAGAAUAAAACAGAAACUUGAUUAUGUGGAAUCUUUCUGGGCCAUUAGACCUUAUUUUUAAUGCUUUUUUACACCCCCAAUCUGAGUUUAAAUUAUUCUUUUUGCUCUUGAUUUCAUUUUUUUGUUUUUGCUUUUAUUUUUAUUAAAAUUAGGCCAUUAGAAGUUUUUAAUUGAUUAGUUUAAUUAGUUAGAUUUUUAGGAAUAAUUAGAAUUAAGGGAUUUUAAUUAAGAAUAAAAAUAUGGAUUAAUUAGAAUAUUAAUUUAAUUUAUUUUUUAGUUUAGUUAGAUUUCUAAAAACAAUUAGGUUGUUCUUUGAUUUGAUUAAAAUAGUUUUCUUAGAACUUGUCUAAUUUUUACCGGUUUUAGUUAGGAUAAUUGAUUAGGCCGUUUAAUUUUAUCCUAUAAAUUUAAUAUUCAAUGCUGAAAUGAAAACCCAUUUUAACCUUAGGGGUUAUUUUUGUCAUUUUAGCCCAUGAAACGCCAUGUUCCUUUCGGUUUUAAUUUUAACUCUAGAAUAUUAGCUAGUUUAAUCAGUUUUUCAUUGAGUAUCUGAUUAACAAAAUAUGCCUCCCAUUAGGACAUAGUGUGAGAAUAAUUUAACAUCUNUGAUAAAAAUUAUCCGAAUCACAAGAGAAAAAAAUAUUCGGUUCGAUUUAGUUCGGUUGACUUUUAGAAAUAAAACCAAAUCAAACCAAUACGGUUUGGGUUAGUUUGGUUUUGAAAAAAAAUUAUUGAGUGAUACAUACACCUAUAGAGAAGAACAUAACUUUUUAUUUAGUCAUUUAUACAUUAAUAAAUAACAUCAAAACUCAUCAUAUUUAGACAAAAUCUUCUCAUUCAAUAUACAAAAAUCAGAUUAUACAAAAUUGGAAUAAAAAAAUAUAAAAUAGUAGCAUAAAAUAAUAUCAAAUACAUUAUAAUAAAAGUGCGAUAAAAGGAAAGAACAAAUGAGAUGCUAGAUUAGAGAAGAAAAGUGUGAUAAAAAUGUAAUUGGAAGAGAAAAUAGUAACAUAAAAAUGAGAAGAUGAAAAAGAAAGAACAUAAGAGAGGUGAGACUAAAGUAGAAGAGGCAAGGCAUACAUGACAAAGAAAAUGAGAAGAAUGGCCGAUACUACUAGGAGAGAUUUAUAAGUUGUAACACCCUAAAUUCAAUUAAUUAUUUUUAUUUAAUUAUUUAAAAUUGUAUUUGAUUAAUUGGUAUUUUAAAGUAUUUGUUGUAUGAUUGUGGGGGGUAAUUGUCCUUGAAGUAGAGGUAUAGAAAGAGUAAGAGUUUAACAUAUUUGUUUAGAAAUUAAUUGAAGUUUUAAUUAAUUAUUAGAAUAAAUAGUAUUUUUAUUUAAAAUUAUUAUUUAAAUAAUAAAAUGAUGGAAUUGAGCUAUUUGCAAGAUUUGGAGGGAAUAAGGGGUAAAAAUAGAGAAAUUAUUAUUGAGUUGGCAAGUUUCAUAAUUAGACAAAAUAGUGAGGGAGUAUAUACUCUAAAGUUAGGGAAAGAGUUAGGUUUUGGAGAGAAAACUUCAGACGUGUAGGAAAGAGACAAGAGAGGGGAAGAGGAGCAAGCUAGGAGGUUGAGGAGAGAACUCAUAGAAACUGCACAAAUCAUCAUCAAUUGUAUAAAAUCAGGUAAGGAUUGGAAAUUAUUUCAAUAAUAAGAGGUGUGAUGGAAGGGUAGAAUGAAGGAACCCUUAACCUCCUUAGGAUUGGGUGUUCUAAAUCUCAAUUUAGAUUUUUUUGUUAUAAUUGUUGUUGUAUGAUGGAAUUGGUGUGAAAUUUGUGUACCUUAUUGAAGCUAGCGGAAAUAUACCCGAAUGCAUCGCACGCUUGAACAUACAACAGAGUCGCCAUCAAACUUUAUUUAUUCCAUAAGGAAAGGGAAAACAUCGAUAAAACCCGAGGGAAAGAGAUAUAUAGGUAAGGAGGUCGGUUAUGUAAGGGGAAGGUAUUAACACCCCUAACAUCGAUGAUACUCCAUGGGAACCAUUUUGAUUGUUCUUACUCGAAUGGGUGUUAUAUCCAAGGCUACUCGCUAAAGAAUGAAGGGAAAAGGAAAAAGAAUAGAUAAAGUACUCGGUGAGGAUUGAGGCCCUCAUGCCUACGUAUCCUUAUAGUGCAAUAAGGAAUUCAGAGCUCCGUAGUUCAUAGAACUAGUGGUGGAAGGUGAAAAGAAUUUGUGAUACAAGUAUAGUCUGAAACAAAGGAUUUUAUGAUUUGAACUCCAAAAAAGGGAUAAAUCUGAACCCAAGAGUAAUGUUGGCGUGAACCAUAUGUGGGUAGUCUGAACAUUCACCGCUAUACGGUACAGCCGAAAACAAGAAGAAUUAAGUGUUUGGUUUGACAAGGAACAUUAUAUCACUGUAGGGUACAAACAAUUUGAGGUCAAAGAAGAGUGGUAUCUUGAACCCAUGAAGGAUUGGACUCAUAAUCGAAGAGUAAACAGGUGUUUUGGUCAAAAAGAAGGAACAAAGUGUUUGGUUUGAUAACACAAACAUCUUUUGGUUCACAAGGUUUUGGAAAAAGUCAGGAAUAAAAUGUUUGCUUUGACAGCACAAGCAUUCUCUUGGUUCACAGGAAGGCAUUGGGUAUGGAAUCCAAAGGAAUAAUGAGAUCUCAAAAAUAUGGUAUUGCUUGAAGAAAUACCAAUGGGGUAGAAAUAAAUAAGGUAGCUGGCGGAGAAUCUGAAUCCUCGUUCCUACGUAUUCUCACUGUGCAAUUAGAAAGUCAGAUCUUUCGUAGUUCAAUCAACUAAGGAUGACAACAACAUAGUUCAGGCAAAAAAAGGAGUGCCAAGGUUCACAGCCUGCUAGGAAAGGAGUCACUACCAGAGUUUAUAAUUCUGAAGGCGAAGAAUUGAACUGCCAAGGUCUAAAACCUAAAAGGCAAAGGGAAUGGAUGUUAGAGUCCAUAACUCCCUAGGCAAAAGAAAGCACUUCCAAAGUCCAUAAACUGAUAGGCAAGGGGAUUUCCCAGAGUCCAUAACUCUACAAGGCUACUCAAAGGGAUUGUCAAGGUAUAUAACCAAGUGCAAAAGUCUAUAACUCCAUAUGCACAGAAAGAGUCUGCCAAGGUCCACCAUCUCCUGGGGGUAAAAUGAAGAUUGCCAAGGUCUAUUACGUUAUAGGCAAGAAAGAUUGAAUUGCUUGGGUCCAUAACCCUAUAAGGAAAAAGGAAUUCCAAGUUCUAUCACCUUAUAGGAAAGGAAAGGUUUCCAAGGUCUAUUACCUUAUAGGCAAGAACAUGUUUGAAUUUCUUGGGUCCAUAACCCUACAAGGAAAAAGGAAUACCAAGGUCUAUCACCUUAUAGGCAAGAAAAGGUUGUCGUUUCCUAUGUCCAUAACCCUACAAGGAAAAAGGAAUGUCAAGGUCUAUUACCUUGUAGGCAAGAAUAAAUGAUUAAAAGAGGGUGUACAACCAUGAGAUGCCAAUAGGAACAAUGCUUCAUUAUUGAAGUGUUGAAAGAUUGAUGCUUGCUUGAAGAAUACUUGUUAAUUAAGAUGCCAAUAGGAACAAUGCUUCAUUAUUGAAGUGUUGAAAGAUUGAUGCUUGCUUGAAGAAUACUUGUUAAUUGCAUGAUUCAAAUUACACUAAAGUUUAUGAACAAGGGUCAAUGGUUUGAAUAGCUAGGGCAUAUGCCCCUAUGGAAAGUCACUCUAGACAAGGGUAGGAGAAACUUUGUCUCAUCAUUCCUCGUUACUUAAGGCUCAUAACAUGUAACCCUUAUCACGAUUGACAAGUACUAUUAAGGCUUCUGAUUAUUGAUCUUGAUGAUGACAUGUUGUUUGUUGUAUUGAGAAGACUUGACAAUUGUUUGAUUCAAAUUGUGCUAAAGUCUAUGAACAAGGAUGAAUGCUUUUAAUAUCUAGGGCAUGCGCCCCGUAUACAAAGUCACUCUAGAUAAGGGUAGGAGAAACUAUGUCUCAUCAUUGCUCAUUACUUAAGGCUCAUAGCAUACAAUUUGAAUCGUAGUUACCAAGUGUUGACCUUCGAUGUAUCUUGUAUAACCCGUUGCUUGAUUUGACUAGGAUGCCUUGCACGAAAGACUAGACUUGAAGCUUCAAGAUCCAUUGUAUUGAAAUUAGUCCCAUCAAGUGAUCAAGGGACUUUUGAUCACUUGAAUGGACUGUGAGAUUAUACAUGAUUAAAGGAUUUAGUUGGUCAAAAUUGCUUUUGAUCAUCGUAAAUCGGAGGGUUUGAAUUAACUUGAAAAUUGUGAUUAACCUAAUCUAAGGGUUAAGAUUAUUCGCACACUAUUCCUAAGGGAGAAUAUUAUGUUAAUCAGAUACUUCAUGAAAAAACUUGAUUAUACUAGCUAAUAUUCUAAGUUAAAAUUAAAAUCGAAAGGAACAUGCCUUUCUAUGGCUAAAAUGACAAAAAUAACCCUAAGGUUAAAAUGGUUAUUUCACAUGAAUAUUCAAUUUAAGGAUAAAAUUAAACCCUAAUCAAUAUCCUAACUAAAACCUAAAAAUUAGACAAGUUCUAAGAAAACCAUUUUAAUCAAAUCAAAGAAACCUAAUUAUUUUUAGAAAUCUAACUAAACUAAAAAAAAAUCAAUUAAUAUUCUAAUUAAUCCUAAUUUUAUUCUAAUUAAAAUCCUAAUUCUAAUUAUUCCUAAAAAUCUAACUUAAUUAAACUAAUCAUUAAAAAACUCUAAAUGGCCUAAUUAAUAAAAAUAAAACAAAAAAAAAAUGAAUCAAGAACAAAAAGAAUAAUGAACUCAGAUUGGGGGUGUAAAAAACCAAUAAAAUAAGGUCUAAUGGCCCAAAAGAUCCACAUAAUCAGUUUUGUUUUAUUCUUGUUUUAUCUUAUAUGCUAUUUUGUAUUAUAUGUCAUGCUGAACCAGUCAUGCUGCGACACAUGGUGCUGUCCAAAAAAGUGAAAAAAAGGAAAAAGAGGUAGGACAUGUGUCACGGUUCUGGGAGUUCCGGGUUUAAUCAAUAUAUGUUCAUUAAUUAAUUACACACAACCUUGAUUUUUGAUCUACUAAAAAUUAAUAAAUCAAAAAUUAAUAUGCAAAUUAUAUAUUCAGGCUCGAUUUUUCGCGAAGAAUCCAAAUAUGCAAUCGACUUUUGCAAAUGAGCCACGAAUUUUGAAGAAUCGGGCGAAAAUGUGAAAAAAAAAAGUAUGUAAAGAAUCGAUUAAUUCACAUUCGUUAUAAUGAUAUAUGAAAAAGUAAUCUCAUAUUCAAAAUCGUGACGAAAAAUCACUUCUUAUGAUAUAUUCAUACGUAAUUAACGGUUAAGAAUUGAAAAAUCACCAUUUUUAAGUUUAUGUGAUUUAUGCAAAACAGUAACUAAAAUUGAUCAACAAGCAUGCUAAGUCAAGUGUUUUAUUGUUGAUCAAAGAUUGUCUGUAACUAGAUGACCAUAAAGACAAUUGAUGGAUACUCCACGAAGCAUGCUGAGCGACAUGAGUGACCUAGAUAGAAUUUGUCCAUCCUACGUAACAUGAUAAAUGUCUAAGGGCCCAAUAGUGAAAUGGACAAGGAUGACACGGGUUAUGCCUUGUGUUUAAUAUAAACAUAAUGACAAAAGGGUAAUUGUACACAUAAGUAAUAUCACAAAAAGGGAUUUGUCAUAUCACAUGACAUUUUCGUGUCUUAUGUAGCAGUGAUGUGUUGCUAGAUACCGCUCACCGUUUUGUUUUUUUAAAUAUGUGAUUUAAUAUAAUUACCAAUAUCGCGAAAACCUACAGGGUCACACACAAAAUGACGAAUUGAUGAGAGACAUAGUAAAUAAGGAACACCGUUAGGUACGGUGCACUUAAGUAGAAUAUGAAAUCUGGUAAGGUAUCACACGCUUAAGUGCUUUUCAGUAUACCAUUAGAUAUAGGCCACAUACACUUAAGUGGGCUUUUUAGCUUGCAGGCGACAUAAGUGGUUCUAUAAAUUGAACCCUUGUGCAUAAGCGUUUUACUUGAUGAAAUUUCUCUUCUCUCUCUCAAAGUCUUCAUUCGUAGCAGCUAGCACUGAGACUGAAGGAAUCCGUUCGCGUGGACUAAAUAAAGGUGUUGUCACCCGUGAUCACUCCUUAGAUCUGCAUCAAAGGUUUCAAUUGGUAUAAGAAGUAACGGUUUUUAUCACUAAUCAUUCUCAUUUGUAAGGAUCAGUAAAGGAACAAUUUAAUUUCUGUUGCAUUUUGGAUCGUAAUUUUCCUUUAGUGGUAUCAGAGCCACUUACGAAACCAUGCAUAUGAUAGUUGUUUUUUUUUUUCUGUAUUAACACGAUUAAAAGACAAAAUGAAUUAAAUAAUAAAAGAGUAAUUAAAUUUGGCAUCAUGUGUGUAUGAUUUGGAUGAUUGAUGUUGACUAUGCUUCGGAAUCUGAUGUUAGUAUGGUGAAGCAGCGAUACAUCGAUCGUCCAUGGAUAACACAAAUGAGUUCGAUCAAUUUAUAUAUAUGAUAUAAGAUAAUCUGAUGCAAAAUAUGGUAUAUAUGAUAUACUAUUUCUAUUUCGUUCAUUCAAACACUUAAUUAUUUUUAUUCUUUUAAGCGAUCAAUAGCCAAUUGCUUCGGAAUCCGACAUUAGUAUGGUGAAGCAAUGGCGUGUUGAUCAAUCAUACUGAAUUAUCAAUCAAGGUGUGUUUGACGAUAUGGAAUUGUUGCAUUAGGGUUCAUGAUGGUACAAGGGUUAUGCUGUCAAAGAGUUAUGCGAUUAGGGUUGUGACUGCAUAAGAGUUGUGCUUUAAAGUAUCAUGUGUUGACCGAGAAGAAGAACCCCCGACUAACUCUGGGUAGUAUGAUCAAUCACCAAAAUUUAAUUUGGUUUAUAUAAUUAAUAGAAUUUAAAUUAAUAAUAAUAAUGUGUUUAUUAUUAUUGUCUUGUGGUGAUCAGUUAUGGCCUUAGUUUUCCUUUAUUUUGUUUUUGGGAUUUUAAAAUACAACCCGCGUGUCGUGCCUCUAUUUUAAUCUCUUAAUGUAACUUAUUUUCUCAUCUCACUCCCUCGUAUGUAAAACGAGUUUCUUUUAUGUAAUAUAAUGUUAUGAAAAAAGAGAAUAAUAUAAUAUCAAAUUGGGAUAACCUUGAAGAUCUUGCUUGGAGAAGCUAAGAUUGUUAUUAGGUUAUAUUAGGUUCUCUCAUUGGCUUGGGAGAACAAUUGCGAUAUGGGCCAUAACAGUUUCAUUUUGUAUGUAUAUUGAUGCAUCUGAGAGACGAUUUAUAUGAUAAAUAAGCCGGAGAGAUCAAAAUAAUUGCAAAUUCCCUCAUAUUAAAUAUUAAGUUUAUGCUUUCCAAUUUUUAGCACUCAUCAAGACUAGUAUCGAAUAAUGUAGGUUUCGCCUACGUGAGGUACAUGUUCUGUAUUAGUAUGGUGUGAUGGGAUGAUUGUAAUAAUCCAACAUUGCCUAAAACAAUGGGUCAAACUUAACUAAAAAAUUAUAAUAAGAUUAUAUAUGUUUAGAAGCAAGAGUUGGAAUUGAAUAAGGAGUUACUCACCCAACUAAAAUAUUCGAGAGUUGUAUUAGAUACAAUUGGAAGGAGUUCCUACCUAAAUAACCUAGUUUUGUGUAAUCCUCCUACGCGAACUUAAAACAAAGUGAAAUUUGGAUCUCGACCCAAUAGAAAAUCUUCCAACGGGAUUUUCCGAAUCAAUGGUGAUGGUCAUUUGUUUUGAGUAAAAUAGUGGAAGCAUAUUUAAUUAAAGGCCUAAUUAAAUAUGUUAUUUUAAUGAUACUUAUAUUUUCAUAUUUUUCAUGUAGAUUACCAUGACAACAAACACCUCUAACAACAUUUUACGAUCAAUCCUUGAUAAGGAAAAAUUGUCUGGGACAAAUUUUCUGGAUUGGCACCGAAAUCCGAGGAUUAUUCUUAAGCAUGAUAAAAAGUUGUAUGUCUUGGAGAAACCUAUUCCUGAAGAGGAACCUCCUAGUUCUGCACCUAAGGCAGAGAUAUAUGCUUAUAAGAAGCAUGUCAAUGAUAACAAUGAAGUUGCUUUCCUCAUGCUAGCUACCAUGAACUCGGAGUUGUAAAUGCAACAUGAGAACAUGGGAGCGUUCGAUAUGAUCAUACACCUGAAGAUGCUCUAUCAAGAGCAGGAAAGGCAUGAGUUGUUUGAAGUUUCAAAGCCUUUUUUCAAUGCAUGUUAGCUGAGGGAGCCAAUGUAGGUCCACAUGUCCUCCAGAUGAUUGGGUAUAGUAAGACCCCGAUUUUGAUCCUAAGAUUCCUCAUGCAAUUUCAUCAUAAGCAUUAGCAUUGGGUUCAUACCUUGGCAUCCUCCGUACCCCUCUUUCAUUGGGUUUGUUUUGGGAGAGAUAACGAAACACCAUGUAAUUGUAUCAUACUUGUAUAUUAUUUUACUAACCAAAAUACCAAAAAUAUGUCUUUGCAUUUGCCUAAUUCUUUUGUAGGUAGGGCAUGAUCACCAUUGAUCUAUCAAGUUCAUAUCUAGGGUUUGAGACCCUCAUGACAAGGAGCGCAACAAUGGAUUGAUCCAAGAAUGGUUAUAAGCAUCAUAUAUGAGUCCCCAUGAUUCCUACAUGUUAUACUGAUCAAGUAUUCUUCAAGAGUUUGAGGGUGAUUUGCCUUGGAAACCCCAGUUUAACUAGGUAUCUUGAGUAACUUCUCCUACAAGCUAUCUCAUCAAUUUAUCAAAAUUAUCAAGGGACACUUAAAAUUUCAUCAUAUUAUGCAUAUAUGAUUUACCAUGAGCCAAGAAAGUCCAAAGAAUUGAAGGUUAUCAAGUUGGCUGAUGGUGGUUGGCCAGAUGAAUUCAUCUGAUCAAAACUGGGUCUCCCUAGACCCUAACUCCUACAAUUUUCACCAUAUGAAAAUUAUUCUCAGAGCAAAGUUACUCUAAAUGACAUUCCAAACAACUUUCAAGUUGAGAUCUAGAGCUAGUUUUGCUUGGAAAAUCAUUUUCUAUGUUGAAACAUUAUAGGUCAUUUUGUCUAAACCCUAAUUUGAAAGUCAACUUCCCAUGGCCAUAACUUGCUCAAUUUUUAUGAUAUGAAAUAUUUACAAGUUGCACAAUCAAAUUAAAGAUGUCUAAUUCAACUUUGAUAUUUGGUGUAAGAUCUAAUUCAACUUUUAUGAGCAUGUGAUAUGAGGUUACAUUAUAGGUCUUUUUUUAUCUAUACCAUUGAACAAGUGAUUUUUCCAAACUUCAAAAAUGCAUAACUCUAUCAUUCUAGUUCCAAAUGAAAUGAAAUUUGUGACCACUUUGAAGAUCUUUGAUAGAGCUACAACUUUGAUGAAGACACUUUUCUCAUCUGAAGCUCACGUAAAAAGUUAAGCAAGAUGGAAUAUUGAGAUAUAUGACUUAACACAGAAAUUUUUUCAACAUGUUGAAAUUUCCAAACUUCCUCCUCAAAAUUCACCAUGUUCUUAACUCCAAAUGGAAAAGUGUUCAACAUGAAACUUGUUCCCCUUGAUCCAAUCUUUCCAAAGUCCCCAAGUUCAUUCAUUUUGGAUGAAGUUUUCUAGGUUUGCGCAUGGCUUUAACAGGGCUACAUCAUGGGAAAGAAUCAAAUGUACAAGCUUAACUUCACAUUGCCUUUCCAUUCAAGCUUCAUUCAGACUUCAACAUGAUUGAUUUUGGACCUUUAUGCAUUGCAUCAUGGGCCUGUACAUGCACAUGCACUCGUGCCAUUCACAUUGCCAAAUUUGGACAAAUUAUGGACUUCUGUGAUUCAAAUCAAACUUUCAAAAGUAAAAUGUGAUUAUCAUUAAUAUGUUUUAUUCAACUCAAGAACUUCUAUGAUUAAAAUCAUAUUCACUAGAGAAAAUCCCGACUUUUCCACAUAACUUGAUUCAAAUCAUGUCAUCCCAUGAUUUGAAUCACGCUUCAAGAUUUUAGUUUUUUUUUAUAAUCAAAUGGAGCGUUAUACUGAAUCAGAAUAUGACAUGACUUAAAUCAUUCUCAAACGUUCUUCUUAAUUUAAAACUUUGACUAUUUGACUAGGAGUGUAUUGUUAGGACCAUAAUCAAACAAUUUGAUUUAUGUAUAAGUUAAAAUAGAUUGAAAACUAAACUUUAAAGCCCACAAUACAGUGAGGAGAGUCAAAUACGAUAAAAUAAACCAAAAACUAGAUAGCAAAGCAACAAAACAUAAACGCGUAAAUCCUAUGACGUAGAGGAAACUUCAACAUCCAUGUUUUAUUUACUUAAAUCAAACAUUUUUAACAAGCAUGCAUUUAAGAAAAUAAUUUUAACAUUUACAAGAGAAGAGAUUACAUUAAGGAACCAACUUUGAAUCAUUUUUCUAUUCUUACAAUUCAUCCCAGAUAAUGGUUUUCUACUUCAUGCAUUUACUUUAAUUAUAAUUGUUUUCAUUGUAUUAUAUUUAAAUUUCAACACUUUGUAUCCAAGUUAAAUCGUUGUGGUAUUCUCAUUCUAAUUUGUUAUUGAGGGUUUCAAGUGGAUCAGUGAUAUUUCAUGGGGAUUGAUGAGUUAACAAUAUAUUUCUUACUUUAUAAAUGGAUGGAAAAGAUUCAUUACUUAUAAAAAAAAUUAAAUAAAAGGCGAUAAAAUAGAUUUUCCCUCGGUUGACAGCUCACCCAAGAGAAUAUGUCAUAAAUAAAACAUUAAAAAAAAUAAAAUUCGCUAAAAUGCAGUUGCUAGAAUUUAAAGGGGAAUUGAUCCAAAAAUCUUCAACUCGGUUAACAGCUCAACCGAGGGUAUAAGUUAUCAAUACAAUAUUAUAAAUAAAUAAAGUGUGAUAAAAUAUAGUUAUUGAGAUUCGAAGGAAGGUUGAUCAAAAUUGUUUCGCUCAGUUGCCAGCUCAAUCGACUAAAUAGGCAGUACUUUAUAAAAAUAUGUAGGAAUGUAGGUUCGAACAUGUGAUAUCUCAUUUGUUUAUCUUUAAAAGUUGAAUUCCACCGAGACAAAUGAUAAAAUAUGGGCGUUUUUAAAAAAUUUAAUCGUACAAAUUUAUCAAAAUUAUUAUGUUUUUAUAUAAAUAUUUUUUUGGAUUUGUUUAAUAAAAUCCUUUUAAAACUAAUUCAAAGGUGAAACCUGAUUAAUUUUUGAGUAAAAUAAUUUUUUAAUAAUAAAAAAGGAGAAGAAAUAUUAUGUUAUAUAAAAUUUAUAAAAAUAUUGAAGUGGCACAAUAUUUUUUUUAAUAUUUUAUAAAUUAUAAAACUAUUUCUUUAAUGAUUAUAGUUGUUCAAACUUUUAAUAUGUAAAAAGUACCUAUUGUUUUUUCUUUCUAUAUAAAUAUACAUUAUAUACUAAUUUGGUGUACUUAAGGAAACUCUCUAUCCACCACAUUCAUAUAUAGGGAAACUCUUUCGUACAUAUCUUGACAAAUUAGAUGCUAACUGUGGAGGAUAUCUUCAAACACUAUUAAAAUAUUGUUUAUUCGAACAUAAUCAUAUUCUUUUUUCUUUUUAUUGUAUUUUUUCUUUAUUUCUCUCAUGUACGAAUAUCAUAAGAUGUGACACUAUUUAAUUCAAUAAAAGACUAAAAUAAAAGGUAACCCAAAAUAAAAUGAUAUUUUAAAAUAAUAAGAUUCAAGUUAAAACGAUAAUUAAAAUUUAUAUAUUAAAUAUAUUUAAUUAUAACAUAAAUUCAUUAUGAUAUGGAAACUUGGAAGCCAAAAUUAAAAGAAAAUGAAAAGAUUAUAAUUAUAUUUCCGCCUUUUUUGCAUUAUUUUCAAAAAUUUAAAGANCAAAAUUAAAAGAAAAUGAAAAGAUUAUAAUUAUAUUUCCGCCUUUUUUGCAUUAUUUUCAAAAAUUUAAAGAACAAAGACAUAGUUUCAAGAUACAUGAAAUUACAACACGAUAUAAAUAUAUAAAGUUUAUAAAAUUACAAUUAUUCAUCAUAAGCUAUAUUAUUUAUAUUUUUUGAUAUUUCAAAAAAUAUUAUUUAGGAUAAGUUAUGAGAAUGGACUUAAAAAUGAUUUAACAUGUCCUCUCAUGAACCUCUACAAACUUUGUGCAUAUUUUGUUAACGCACUUAAAAAUUAUUCUCUGAUUGUUAGCACUCAUCAUUGAGAAUGGACAAUUUUCAUCAGUUUGACAUGGUUGCCCCCCUUAGUGAAAAAUAGAAUAAAAAAUGUUAGUGAAACAUGAAGAAAGAUAUUGUAAGAAUUAUAACAUAAAAUAAAAACUAAUUAAAAAGCAAAAAUGAUUUACCGUUAUGCCCGGAUGAAAGAAUAUGUCCGGAUGAAAGAAGGAAUAGGGAAAAAAAUAAAAUUAUAGCAUAAAUAAAUUUGACAACUUUUGUCAUUUUUUCUCUCUUUCUCGUUAGAAGUAAAAAGAGAGUUGAGCAAUUUAUAGUGUAUAAAUCCAAUGUAAUGUUUAAAACAAUUAAAUAUUUUAAGCCCUA